RNAcentral lists this ribosomal RNA (260 nucleotides) under uncultured bacterium. RNAcentral's name for it is "partial 16S ribosomal RNA". It matches the Rfam family "Bacterial small subunit ribosomal RNA", at positions 524 to 781 of the family's 1533-position model. The record is from RNAcentral.
UACGUAGGGUCCGAGCGUUGUCCGGAAUUACUGGGCGUAAAGAGCUCGUAGGUGGUUUGUCGCGUUGUUCGUGAAAACUCACAGCUCAACUGUGGGCGUGCGGGCGAUACGGGCAGACGUAGAGUACUGCAGGGGAGACUGGAAUUCCUGGUGUAGCGGUGGAAUGCGCAGAUAUCAGGAGGAACACCGGUGGCGAAGGCGGGUCUCUGGGCAGUAACUGACGCUGGAGGAGCGAAAGCGUGGGGAGCGAACAGGAUUAG